Molecule: ribosomal RNA, 464 nt
Filed under: uncultured Klebsiella sp.
Lineage: Bacteria; Pseudomonadati; Pseudomonadota; Gammaproteobacteria; Enterobacterales; Enterobacteriaceae
Description: bacterial SSU rRNA
Rfam family: Bacterial small subunit ribosomal RNA
Source: RNAcentral
CCUACGGGGGGCUGCAGUGGGGAAUAUUGCACAAUGGGCGCAAGCCUGAUGCAGCCAUGCCGCGUGUGUGAAGAAGGCCUUCGGGUUGUAAAGCACUUUCAGCGGGGAGGAAGGCGGUGAGGUUAAUAACCUCAUCGAUUGACGUUACCCGCAGAAGAAGCACCGGCUAACUCCGUGCCAGCAGCCGCGGUAAUACGGAGGGUGCAAGCGUUAAUCGGAAUUACUGGGCGUAAAGCGCACGCAGGCGGUCUGUCAAGUCGGAUGUGAAAUCCCCGGGCUCAACCUGGGAACUGCAUUCGAAACUGGCAGGCUAGAGUCUUGUAGAGGGGGGUAGAAUUCCAGGUGUAGCGGUGAAAUGCGUAGAGAUCUGGAGGAAUACCGGUGGCGAAGGCGGCCCCCUGGACAAAGACUGACGCUCAGGUGCGAAAGCGUGGGGAGCAAACAGGAUUAGAUACCGGGUAGUC